AGAACGAACGCUGGCGGCAGGCUUAACACAUGCAAGUCGAACGCUCCGCAAGGGGAGUGGCAGACGGGUGAGUAACGCGUGGGAACAUACCCCUCGGUUCGGAAUAACUCAGGGAAACUUGAGCUAAUACCGGAUACGCCCUUACGGGGAAAGAUUUAUUGCCGAAGGAACGGCCCGCGUCCGAUUAGCUAGUUGGUGAGGUAAUGGCUCACCAAGGCGACGAUCGGUAGCUGGUCUGAGAGGAUGACCAGCAUCACUGGGACUGAGACACGGCCCAGACUCCUACGGGAGGCAGCAGUGGGGAAUAUUGGACAAUGGGCGCAAGCCUGAUCCAGCCAUGCCGCGUGGAUGAUGAAGGCCUUAGGGUUGUAAAGUCCUUUUAACGGGGAAGAUAAUGACGGUACCCGUAGAAUAAGCCCCGGCUAACUUCGUGCCAGCAGCCGC
This 444-nucleotide ribosomal RNA is filed under the name uncultured bacterium. Its description in RNAcentral is "SSU rRNA". It matches the Rfam family "Bacterial small subunit ribosomal RNA", at positions 26 to 518 of the family's 1533-position model. The record is from RNAcentral.